Molecule: non-coding RNA, 103 nt
Organism: Grimontia sp. AD028
Lineage: Bacteria; Pseudomonadati; Pseudomonadota; Gammaproteobacteria; Vibrionales; Vibrionaceae
Source: Rfam
GACCAUCUCGUGGGGUGCUGACUUCGUCGGCUGAGAUUGCGAACGCUAAACCCAUGUACCUGAACCAGAUAAUGCUGGCGUAGGAAUGAGAUGUCCAAAGCUG